UCAAAAAUGACAUCUUUCUAUAUUUUGAUUCUAUGGCUGAGACAUGAGCAGAUACAUUUAAUUAACUUACAUGCAAUCUAUCUAACUUUUGAUGUAAGCUGAACUGAUUGCAUCUCUGGGCUGAAGUUGUAAAUUUGGAAAUGUUUUGCUGUCCCAUCAAACUGACUUCUCCUGAAACCUGCAGAGAUAUAGCGCUAUAUAUGUUGGUUAUAUUGGGCCUAUCGACAACAUGUGAAUUAACUCCUUUACAGCCAGACUGACCUCAAACUCUGCCGAAACACAUCAGAACAUAUUUAGAUCACAGACUUAUCCUCAUUGCUCCUCGUGUUUGUUCAUUGAAGUGAUACUGCAAUCAACAGCCUGAGCAUCUUUUGUUUGUUCACUUCUUUUUGGCAGAAGUUUAUUACAAACUUUACACCAGGACAAAAAAUGCUUUAUUUCCUUUUCAUACUCAGAUUUAUUUAAGAUUUAAGAAGAUACAUAUUGGGGAGAGUGUGUCCACCAAAGUACUGAGAAUGAUCAGGUGGAAAAUCCAUGGCAUGGUCAUUUAUUGAACAACUCUACAAAACCGCACUUUCAGCGCCUUAUUUUCUUAACCUGCAUUGUGCGGCGUGACUAAAUCCUUCUGAAGAGCGGGAGAAAAAGUUACUCUUUUCCAUUUCAUAUACUAUGUCAAUCGAACCCUGUGCUGUAUACAGGAGGUUGGAGAAGUAAGCAGCUGCUAAUAAGUGUAUUUUUAGAAGCAGAUAUCGAAAUGGCAACAUAUGUAGAGUAGAACCUUCACCUGAAAGUUGGCAUUUCCUGUUGCUGAUAGUGUGUGUGGUUUUCAGAGGGGGAGAGAGGUUAGAAAGGGAAGUUAGAUUAUCUUUGAUGAAAGCAGAAGCGUGGAGCAUCGGGUUUUCAAACCAGAAGUCUAAACAAACAAAAAACACCAAAAACUACUGCAGUUAAAAAAAAACAUAUUUCAGCUGUUUAUUAUGAAGAGAUGAGUCAGAGUUGCUCCAAAAGUUACUGAGCUGUCAUCUCUCUAUGUGUCUUUGUGUAGACUGCUCCUGAAGAUGGUGUUACCUACUCCUCCAUCAAGAUCAACGAGAAGAAAAAAGGUCAAGCCCAGGUCUGGAGGAAAAAAGAUGCUGAUGAAGGCGCUGAAGUGACCUACUCCACUUUGAAAGCUUCCUCAGUUGAUCCCAGCAUCCUCUAGGCUUCCUUAACUAGUUGUUGGCGCUGUACGUUAGCAGCAGAUCCUUUGACUCCUGUAAGUCGUGAGAUGUGGCCUCCAUGAAUUGGACUUCGUGGUCCAGCACGUCCCGAGGAUGCUCGGUUGGAUUGUAAUCUGGGGAAUUUGGAGGCCAAGUCAACCCCUUGAACUCGUUUUCGCCCCCCUGACAACCUUCUUCCGUUUCUCCAGGGUCCAGUUCUGAUGCUCAAAUGCCCAUUGUAAGUAUUUUUGGCGGUGGACGGUGUCUGAAUGUCAAGGGCAACAUGUUCCCUCGCUGCCUAAUAUAUCCCACCCAUUGACAGGUACCAAUGUCAUUCACUUCACCUGUCAGUGAUCGUAAAGUUAUGGCUGACUGAUGUAAAUAAGCGACAGCAAGUGUAAAUAAAUGUAUUAUAAUAUAGUGCAUUUUGUUUUCUAAACAGGCUUUAUUGACAAAUAUCUUUGUUUUCAUUGUCAUACUUCUUUGUUUUUAGUUUCAGAUGACAUUUGUUGGUGUUUAUAAUAUAUUUUUUUAACAUAUA
This is a long non-coding RNA of Labrus mixtus (cuckoo wrasse), 1740 nucleotides long. RefSeq lists it as uncharacterized. The transcript is spliced from 2 exons. Lineage: Eukaryota; Metazoa; Chordata; Actinopteri; Labriformes; Labridae. The record is from RefSeq and is a predicted model, not a curated record.